This 24-nucleotide non-coding RNA is filed under the name Arabidopsis thaliana (thale cress). Lineage: Eukaryota; Viridiplantae; Streptophyta; Magnoliopsida; Brassicales; Brassicaceae. The record is from RNAcentral.
AGCUAAUAACAUAUGAGUGCACCA